CGCUGGCGGAAUGCUUUACACAUGCAAGUCGAACGGCAGCACGGGUGCUUGCACNGGUGGCGAGUGGCGAACGGGUGAGUAAUGCGUCGGAACGUACCGAGUAAUGGGGGAUAACGCAGCGAAAGUUGUGCUAAUACCGCAUACGCCCUGAGGGGGAAAGUGGGGGACCGCAAGGCCUCACGUUAUUCGAGCGGCCGACGUCUGAUUAGCUAGUUGGUGGGGUAAAGGCCUACCAAGGCGACGAUCAGUAGCGGGUCUGAGAGGAUGAUCCGCCACACUGGGACUGGGACACGGCCCAGACUCCUACGGGAGGCAGCGGUGGGGAAUUUUGGACAAUGGGGGCAACCCUGAUCCAGCCAUUCCGCGUGAGUGAAGAAGGCCUUCGGGUUGUAAAGCUCUUUCAGCUGGAACGAAACGGUACGCGCUAACAUCGUGUGCUAAUGACGGUACCGGCAGAAGAAGCACCGGCUAACUACGUGCCAGCAGCCGCGGUAAUACGUAGGGUGCGAGCGUUAAUCGGAAUUACUGGGCGUAAAGCGUGCGCAGGCGGAUUGUUAAGCAAGACGUGAAAUCCCCGGGCUUAACCUGGGAAUGGCGUUUUGAACUGGCAGUCUAGAGUGCGUCAGAGGGGGGUGGAAUUCCACGUGUAGCAGUGAAAUGCGUAGAGAUGUGGAGGAACACCGAUGGCGAAGGCAGCCCCCUGGGAUGACACUGACGCUCAUGUACGAAAGCGUGGGUAGCAAACAGGAUUAGAUACCCUGGUAGUCCACGCCCUAAACGGUGUCAACUGGUUGUUGGGGGAGUGAAAUCCCUUAGUAACGAAGCUAACGCGUGAAGUGA
Molecule: ribosomal RNA, 840 nt
Filed under: uncultured bacterium
Lineage: Bacteria
Description: bacterial SSU rRNA
Rfam family: Bacterial small subunit ribosomal RNA
Source: RNAcentral